Molecule: long non-coding RNA, 3051 nt
Filed under: Homo sapiens (human)
Lineage: Eukaryota; Metazoa; Chordata; Mammalia; Primates; Hominidae
Description: HSALNT0210340
Source: RNAcentral
UAUGACCCUGUGAUUAAUUGAGCGGCUGACCAAUCAUUACCUCCUCCUCCCUGCUCUUUCUACCCAAUAAAUACAAAGGGCUGUGGAAGCUCAAUGGGCUGCCUUUGCUCAUUAGAAGCAGGGAGCUCUCUUCUUCUUCCCCUGGAUCCUUCCUUUAAAAUAGUUUCUUUUGUCUUAAGUUUUCAUUUCUACGUUUGUCCCUUCAUUCAGUCUCUUAAAUGACGGUCUCAAGCAGUAACAGUAGUAAUUGCUGUAAUGACGGUCUCAAGUAGUAACCAGGGCACUCUGCCACAAGUGGCACCUGAACAGGGACUAACAGGGACUAUCAAGAACAAACGGAGACCUGAAGAGACCUGAAGGGAACUGAAGAGGUCUGCAGGGACAAAUAGAGAUAAGUAGGGAUAAAUAGAGAUAAAUAGAGACAAAUAGAGAUAGGUAAGGAAUGACAGGGACUUGCAGGAAGUAACAGGGACCAUAGGGACAGAUAGGGAUAGAUAAAGACUAGCAAAGACUAGCCGAGAUUAGCAAAGACCAGCAAGGACUAGCAGAGACUAGCAAAGACUAGCAGAAACUUGCAGGGACAGGCAGAGACAGAUAGGGACAGAUAGGGUCCUACAGGGACUUGAACGAGGAAGAUCUGCUGGAAAAGAAAAGAACUACAACCAACCAGAUGAACAAGAAACCCUGUUACAAGUCUGCUGGCAGCAACAUAAGGGUAUGCUUGUUUUUGCAGGAAAUGAACAAAAAGUGUGGGUGCCCCCAAGGUGUGUACUACCAUGGAAUGGGAGAUUGGAGGGACACAUGGAUCCCAACCGUGGGCCUGGUUCCCCCAGUAUGAGCUGAAUACGAAGACAGAACAAACCACCAACCGGCAAUUGAAGGAUGAUGCCCAUUCUAUUUCCUAGGAAGGGAUAAGUUUUAAGGCCUUAUAAAAAGUGACACAAAGUGAACCGGGUUCUAUAAAUUACCAUGGAAAGUGGUGAGCCAACGAUUUGGCAGAACAAAACCCUGAGGAUAUGCAAACAAAAGGGACUAUGGAAUUUGCAAUUGCAGAUUAAAAUUGAAGAAGAAAACAUUUGAGUUGCAAAUACCGUAUUAAAAGUGGACACUGCUUAUGACUGCUGUAUGCAACAGUUUUUCAGGCCCGAGAGGAACCCAGACAUGCUCUAUUUGCAAACCGACUGCAUGAAACAAAAAGCACGGUAAUUCUGAAGCUGUUGGCUUGGAUGAAAUGAGAAUGUAAUUAAAAAGAAAAAGGUUAGCAAAAGAACAUGCUGGGAAUUGAAAAUAAAAAUCUGAAAUGAUGUCCCAGCCUGCCCUUAAGGUCUUUUCCACCAUGUAGAGAGCUACCUCAAAUGCUCUACUUGUCCCAGAGUCUAUGUUCUUUCACUACUAUUGCCUAUAUCUGUGUUUUCUGCUUUCAAUAAUCUAUUGAAAUAAUCAAAAUUAAUUACAUUCAGCAUUUUUUCUGUAUUACUCUGAUUCUAAUAAUUACCUCAAAUUUAUUUGUGCAUUUCUAUACUAGAAAGAAAAAAUAAUUUUUAGAGUUUUACUAUAUCUUCCCCUUAAUUCUAAGUUGCUUGUCACUAAUUCCUUUCCCAACACUAUGUUAUUUCCACCAAGAACAUUACCAAUAUCUUCAGGAAAAUUCCACCCCAUAUUUUAAGCCAGAUUGAUUAUUGGGAAUAUAAAUACAUUUAAGAAGGAAAGUCUUUUUGACUGUGUUUCUCCACAGACCAAUAGUAUACAAAACACAGAAGGCUUUUAAGCACAUUUCAUAGGGAUCACUGACUUAGAACAGAAGGAACCAUUUCGUGAAACACUCUCAUUUUGCACAUAAAGGAGCUGUGGCCCACAGAGGAAUAUGAUUUACUGAGAGUGACCCAGUUAGUGGCCAUAAACCAAAAGCCCCAAGAUGCUAAAUGUUUGUUAUGAAGAGUAAAAAUCCUCCCAGUUUAUAAGAAGUAACUUCAUCCUUCCAUUUUCUAUUUCCACGAUGACUCCCCUGGCUUAAAUUUUAAUCUCUAUUUUGGAUGACUCCAAAAUCUCAUUCUUCUAAAUUAAUUAUCUAAUACCACAAUGUUGCACUUAUCUUCCUACAAAUCUACUUUCAUCUGCCUUGACAAAGCCAACCCUAAUUUUCUCUAGUCCUCAUUAGAAAUUAUUGCAACAAAAAUUCACAUCCAGUCUGAAGUUUGGGAGCCAGAAAAGAAUUUUCCCAUUAAGAUGAGACAGUAUCAAUUAUUAAGCAGAGGAAGACACAAGAGGGAAAGCAGCUUUCACAUGAAAAAAAAAGAACUCUGAUUUUCUGACACAUUUUGUCAUUGCAGUCAAACUUUCAGAGUUAGAACUAGAGACCUAGAUAUUAGCUAACCCAGCAUUUUCCAAGUAUUCCUCGGAACUCUAGAGGCACAGCAUAGUACUGGUAAUGAUUUUGUGGCAGGAUAGAUUAAGGAAACCUCACAGUUAUACCAAGUUAAAUUCAUUUAUUUCAUGUAAAAUUCUGAUAGCCUUUUAUGCUACUAGGCCUAGUGAUACUCCAAAAUUAUUGGCCAUAUAUCUGAAAUUUAUUUCAGCAAGAAACCCUUUAAAGAGCAUCCCGCAGAGUUAGUGUUUUGAGGGAUAUCAUUGGGGAAAAUGCUGAUCUAGACCAAUUCAACAAAUUGUAACUUAGUUAACACCAGAGUCAAAACAAAAACCAAGUCUACUCAUGUCUGUCUUAGGCCCUUUUGGUCACAAAAACACGUUCAAACCACUUCAAUUAAGAAAAUGGUGAGAGGGGAAAAGACAAGCAGGGAACCUUAUCCCAGGUGGGCUGAUCACAGGACUUCCAAGGCUGUCCCUUAGAAGAGUCACGAUAAUGGCAUCUCUAGCACAAAACUCAAAUUUAGUUUUAAUUCUUAGUCGAAUAAUAAUACAGUAAAAUUUAUUGCAUGCAUAAGGAUAAUACAUUAAAACUACUUAAAUUACAUUUUAGGGCCGGGCGCGGUGGCUCACGCCUGUAAUCCCAGCACUUUGGGAGGCCGAGGCGGGUGGAUCACGAGGUCAGGA